UCCCAAAUUUUCUUCAUCCAUCCACCUCUAUAUAUGCAUGGCCAAAGAAGCAUCACAUCCAAACCAAGCCAUUGAGCAGGUUAGAAACAAGUUAUCUCUUGUGAUGGUGCUUCUCGAAACCAAGAACGUAGUGCCUUUGUUCAUGGUGACCACGACGAUCAUGGCUUUGGCCAUGUCACCCUGCUUCGGUCAAGGAGGUGGCAAUAUAUCAUGUUUAGUUGUUUGCGAAAAGCUGCCAGGAUGCACGCUUGACAAGUGCAAACAUUCAUGUGUCACGUCGGGGAUUACCAAUUUUACAGCAACUUGUGGUGAUCUUAAGGCGUUUGAAAGCUGCUGUUGCAAGUACAAUUGUAAACGGGUUCCUCCUGUUUGAGGAAGGUUGGAUCCGCAACUUUCUUUGCAUUAUGUAAAAAUAAUGUACAAAGAUAGGAAGUCGGACGGAUCAUCAUGACUGUUGCACUGCAUGUGGUCCGAUCAAUUAAAACAAUGUCAAAAUAAAUCUAAUAUAUUUCUAUCUUGCGCAUUAAUCUAUACCUACUAAUAAAGCAAGGUGCGUUUAUUCGA
Molecule: long non-coding RNA, 564 nt
Organism: Aegilops tauschii subsp. strangulata
Lineage: Eukaryota; Viridiplantae; Streptophyta; Magnoliopsida; Poales; Poaceae
Source: RefSeq, a predicted model, not a curated record